Molecule: ribosomal RNA, 162 nt
Filed under: uncultured bacterium
Lineage: Bacteria
Description: partial 16S rRNA
Rfam family: Bacterial small subunit ribosomal RNA
Source: RNAcentral
UAGGGAAUCUUCCACAAUGGGCGAAAGCCUGAUGGAGCAACGCCGCGUGUGUGAUGAAGGCUUUGGUCGUAAAGCACUGUUGUAUGGGAAGAACAGCUAGAAUAGGAAAUGAUUUUAGUUUGACGGUACCAUACCAGAAAGGGACGGCUAAAUACGUGCCAC